RNAcentral lists this long non-coding RNA (794 nucleotides) under Podarcis lilfordi (Lilford's wall lizard). The record is from RNAcentral. Lineage: Eukaryota; Metazoa; Chordata; Lepidosauria; Squamata; Lacertidae.
CUUUAACUCUCAAGGGCCAGGUUAACAAUAUCCAAAGGCCUGGAUAGCUUAGUUGGUUAGAGCGUGGUGCUGAUAGUGUCAAGGUUGCAGGUUCGAUCCUUGUAUGAGACGGUUGCAUAUCCCUGCAUUGCAGGGGGUUGGACGAGAUGGUCCUCAGGAAUUCCUUCCAAUUCUGGAAUUCUAAAGUUCAAUUCACUGCAUUUCUACACCAGUUUGCAAUAAAAAAUAAACAGCCCUCGUGAAAAUUGACCCAUUUCACAGAAUCACAGAUUUGUGGGGUUCAGAGAGACCCCAAGAAUCACCUGCAAUGCUGGAAUAACAGCUCAAGAAUCCCUGAUAGAUGGCUGUCCAAGCUCUGUUUGGAAACCUCCAAUGAAGGAGAUUCCACCACAUUCCGAGGUCGUGUGGUGUAGUGGUUAAGAGCGGUAGACUCGUAAUCUGGUGAACCGGGUUUGCUUCCCCGCUCCUCCACAUGCAGCUGCUGGGUGACCUUGGGCUAGUCACACUUCUCUGAAGUCUCUCAGCCCCACUCACCUCACAGAGUGUUUGUUGUGGGGGAGGAAGGAAAAGGAGAAUGUUAGCCGCUUUGAAACUCCUUAGGGUAGUGAUAAAGCGGGAUAUCAAAUCCAAACUCCUCCUCUUCUUCUUCUUCGUCCCUUCCACUGUCGAACAGCUCCUGCCCUCAUAAAGUUCUUCCUAAUGUUUGGUCAGGAUUUCCUUUCUUGCCAUUUGAAUCCGUUGGUUCAGGUCCUCCCCCUCUGGAGCAUCAAGAAACGAGCUUGCUCCAUCUUCCA